Molecule: ribosomal RNA, 525 nt
Filed under: Acrapex kafula
Lineage: Eukaryota; Metazoa; Arthropoda; Insecta; Lepidoptera; Noctuidae
Description: partial 16S ribosomal RNA
Rfam family: Bacterial large subunit ribosomal RNA
Source: RNAcentral
AAAACAUGUCUUUUUGAAAAUAAUAUAAAGUCUAAUCUGCCCACUGAUUUUAAAUUGAAGGGCUGCAGUAUAUUGACUGUACAAAGGUAGCAUAAUCAUUAGUCAUUUAAUUGAUGACUUGUAUGAAAGAUUGAAUGAGAUAUAUACUGUCUCUAAUUUAAUUAUAAAAUUUAAUUUUUUUAUUAAAAAGUUAAGAUAUUUUAAAAAGACGAGAAGACCCUAUAGAGUUUAAUUGAUUAUUAAUUUGAUUUUAUUUUGAAAAAUAAUAAUGAAAUUUAAUAAUUUAUUUUAUUGGGGUGAUAAAAAAAUAAAUAAAACUUUUUUUAAUAAAGAACAUUUAUAAGUGGGUAAAUGAUCCAAUAAUAUUGAUUAUAAGAAAAAAUUACCUUAGGGAUAACAGCGUAAUUUUUUUUUUUAGUUCAAAUAAGAAAGAGAGUUUGCGACCUCGAUGUUGGAUUAAGAUAAAAUUUAAAUGUAGAAGUUUAAAAUUUUGAUCUGUUCGAUCAUUAAAAUCUUACAUGAUCU